UACGAAGGCAGCAGUGGGGAAUAUUGCACAAUGGGCGAAAGCCUGAUGCAGCUAUGCCGCGUGUAUGAAGAAGGCCUUAGGGUUGUAAAGUACUUUCAUCGGGGAGGAAAAAACAAAACUAAUAAUUUUAUUUCUUGACGUUACCCGAAAAAGAAGCACCGGCUAACUCCGUGCCAGCAGCCGCGGUAAUACGGAGGGUGCUAGCGUUAAUCAGAAUUACUGGGCGUAAAGAGCACGUAGGUGGUUUUUUUAAGUCAGAUGUGAAAUCCCUGGGCUUAACCUAGGAACUGCAUUUUGAAACUGAAAUACUAGAGUAUCGUAGAGGGAGGUAGAAUUCUAGGUGUAGCGGUGAAAUGCGUAGAUAUCUGGAGGAAUACCUGUGGCGAAAGCGGCCUCCUAAACGAAUACUGACACUGAGGUGCGAAAGCGUUGGGGAGCAAACAGGGAUUUAGAUACC
This 457-nucleotide ribosomal RNA is filed under the name uncultured bacterium. RNAcentral's name for it is "bacterial SSU rRNA". It matches the Rfam family "Bacterial small subunit ribosomal RNA", at positions 340 to 786 of the family's 1533-position model. The record is from RNAcentral.